UAUCCAGGGGACAGCGGGCCAGGAUGCGCCGUCUGGCGCACGGCGGCGUAGGUCACCCGGCCUGCGCGGGAUCAGCCCCGCCUGGGUGA
RNAcentral lists this transfer RNA (89 nucleotides) under Deinococcus soli (ex Cha et al. 2016). RNAcentral's name for it is "tRNA-Ala". The record is from RNAcentral. Lineage: Bacteria; Thermotogati; Deinococcota; Deinococci; Deinococcales; Deinococcaceae.